GAUGAACGCUGGCGGCGUGCCUAAUACAUGCAAGUCGAGCGAACAGACGAGGAGCUUGCUCCUCUGACGUUAGCGGCGGACGGGUGAGUAACACGUGGAUAACCUACCUAUAAGACUGGGAUAACUUCGGGAAACCGGAGCUAAUACCGGAUAACAUGUUGAACCGCAUGGUUCAACAGUGAAAGACGGUCUUGCUGUCACUUAUAGAUGGAUCCGCGCCGCAUUAGCUAGUUGGUAAGGUAACGGCUUACCAAGGCAACGAUGCGUAGCCGACCUGAGAGGGUGAUCGGCCACACUGGAACUGAGACACGGUCCAGACUCCUACGGGAGGCAGCAGUAGAGAAUCUUCCGCAAAGGGCGAAAGCCUGACGGAGCAACGCCGCGUGAGUGAAGAAGGUCUUCGGAUCGUAAAACUCUGUUAUUAGGGAAGAACAAAUGUGUAAGUAACUAUGCACGUCUUGACGGUACCUAAUCAGAAAGCCACGGCUAACUACGUG
This 497-nucleotide ribosomal RNA is filed under the name uncultured bacterium. Its description in RNAcentral is "partial 16S ribosomal RNA". It matches the Rfam family "Bacterial small subunit ribosomal RNA", at positions 28 to 507 of the family's 1533-position model. The record is from RNAcentral.